GAUGAACGCUGGCGGCGUGCCUAAUACAUGCAAGUCGAGCGAACGGACGAGAAGCUUGCUUCUCUGAUGUUAGCGGCGGACGGGUGAGUAACACGUGGAUAACCUACCUAUAAGACUGGGAUAACUUCGGGAAACCGGAGCUAAUACCGGAUAAUAUUUUGAACCGCAUGGUUCAAAAGUGAAAGACGGUCUUGCUGUCACUUAUAGAUGGAUCCGCGCUGCAUUAGCUAGUUGGUAAGGUAACGGCUUACCAAGGCAACGAUGCAUAGCCGACCUGAGAGGGUGAUCGGCCACACUGAAACUGAGACACGGUCCAGACUCCUACGGGAGGCAGCAGUAGGGAAUCUUCCGCAAUGGGCGAAAGCCUGACGGAGCAACGCCGCGUGAGUGAUGAAGGUCUUCGGAUCGUAAAACUCUGUUAUUAGGGAAGAACAUAUGUGUAAGUAACUGUGCACAUCUUGACGGUACCUAAUCAGAAAGCCACGGCUAACUACGUGCCAGCAGCCGCGGUAAUACGUAGGUGGCAAGCGUUAUCCGGAAUUAUUGGGCGUAAAGCGCGCGUAGGCGGUUUUUUAAGUCUGAUGUGAAAGCCCACGGCUCAACCGUGGAGGGUCAUUGGAAACUGGAAAACUUGAGUGCAGAAGAGGAAAGUGGAAUUCCAUGUGUAGCGGUGAAAUGCGCAGAGAUAUGGAGGAACACCAGUGGCGAAGGCGACUUUCUGGUCUGUAACUGACGCUGAUGUGCGAAAGCGUGGGGAUCAAACAGGAUUAGAUACCCUGGUAGUCCACGCCGUAAACGAUGAGUGCUAAGUGUUAGGGGGUUUCCGCCCCUUAGUGCUGCAGCUAACGCAUUAAGCACUCCGCCUGGGGAGUACGACCGCAAGGUUGAAACUCAAAGGAAUUGACGGGGACCCGCACAAGCGGUGGAGCAUGUGGUUUAAUUCGAAGCAACGCGAAGAACCUUACCAAAUCUUGACAUCCUUUGACAACUCUAAAGAUAGAGCCUUCCCCUUCGGGGGACAAAGUGACAGGUGGUGCAUGGUUGUCGUCAGCUCGUGUCGUGAGAUGUUGGGUUAAGUCCCGCAACGAGCGCAACCCUUAAGCUUAGUUGCCAUCAUUAAGUUGGGCACUCUAAGUUGACUGCCGGUGACAAACCGGAGGAAGGUGGGGAUGACGUCAAAUCAUCAUGCCCCUUAUGAUUUGGGCUACACACGUGCUACAAUGGACAAUACAAAGGGCAGCGAAACCGCGAGGUCAAGCAAAUCCCAUAAAGUUGUUCUCAGUUCGGAUUGUAGUCUGCAACUCGACUACAUGAAGCUGGAAUCGCUAGUAAUCGUAGAUCAGCAUGCUACGGUGAAUACGUUCCCGGGUCU
RNAcentral lists this ribosomal RNA (1372 nucleotides) under uncultured bacterium. RNAcentral describes it as "bacterial SSU rRNA". It matches the Rfam family "Bacterial small subunit ribosomal RNA", at positions 28 to 1381 of the family's 1533-position model. The record is from RNAcentral.